RNAcentral lists this ribosomal RNA (468 nucleotides) under uncultured bacterium. RNAcentral's name for it is "partial 16S ribosomal RNA". It matches the Rfam family "Bacterial small subunit ribosomal RNA", at positions 28 to 507 of the family's 1533-position model. The record is from RNAcentral.
GACGAACGCUGGCGGCGUGCUUAACACAUGCAAGUCGAACGGUAAGGCCCUUCCUGGGUUGGGUGCUCGAGUGGCGAACGGGUAAGUAACAAGUGAGUAGCCUGCCCUUUACGUUUGGAGAACGUCAAGUAACUGGGGCUAUUGCCGUAUGGUCGCGCCGCCUGGUUGGUGGUGGUUGGAUAGGUUCGGCGGUUGGGGAUGGACUGGCGGCUUACCAGCUUGUUGGUGGGGUAGUGGCUUACCAGGGCUUUGACGGGCAGCCGGCCUGAGAGGGUGACCGGCAACAUUGGGACUGGGAUACGGCCCAGCCCCCUACGGGAGGAAGCAGUGGGGAAUAUUGCAAAAUGGGCGGAAGCCUAAUCAAGCAACGCCGCGUGCGGGAUGACGGCCUUCGGGUUGUAACCCGCUUUCGCCUGUGACGAAGCGUGAGUGACGGUAAUGGGUAAAGAAGCACCGGCUAACUACGUG